Rosa rugosa (rugosa rose) is the source of this 1410-nucleotide long non-coding RNA. RefSeq lists it as uncharacterized. The record is from RefSeq and is a predicted model, not a curated record. Lineage: Eukaryota; Viridiplantae; Streptophyta; Magnoliopsida; Rosales; Rosaceae. The transcript has 5 exons.
AACCAAUAUUCAUUUUUCGUCUUCGACACUUCGUCAAAAUAUAGCAAAACUUCUUCUCAUCCCUCCUGUCUCACUCUCGUCUUCUCUUCAUUCUCUUCUCUCCUAGAAAUCUCAACUAUAUCCUUCAACAUCGCGCUUUGGGAAUUUCUCUCUCUCCAGAGUCCAGUCCUCAUUGUCCCUAAUUUCACUUCUCUCUCUGCAAAUCAACCCUAAAUCUUCCAUCUCUAAACCCUCAAUGGAGCCGACACCUUCUUCUACCAAAUCCAAUCACAGCCACCAAAACCCCAUAACCCAGCCAUCAACUCCAGUUCUUAAAAGCCUACCCGUCACCAAACCCCAAGUCAACCCUAAAAGAAUCUCUGUCGGAGCACCCGGACGAAUUCUUCGCUCGAAUCCAAGACUAGAAGCUAAAGAAGAAGGCCUCCACGUUCCUCUUGGCCCCAAUUGAUGCCUCUAGAGAGAGCCUCCUCACGGCUCAUCGAUUACUCAGUACGUCUCUUUCUCGAAAUGGAUUAAUUUGGUUGUUUGUUUUGACAGUGGAUGGUACGAAUCAGUGUUGUUAUCAGGUAUUGCGCUGUGGAAGAUCGGAGUUCAUUCGUUGCUUUUCAAGCCAAUACCAGUGUUGUUAUCAGCUUGGUCUGAGAUGCAGAACAUGACGUUGCCAGGUUAAAGGCUGCAUGCAGAUAAUCAUAGUGUGCAUGUCUUGACACGGUCUAGAUCAAAGGCUGAGUUAAUUGUUCCGGGUAAGAAGUCGGGAACUUUCCAGGAAUCAUAAUUGCAGAGGAGCCAGAGUGGAAAGAUAGCAUUCGAGGUUCAAUUGGUGUUGUAAAUUUGGCUGGAAUGCCCAUUAGUACAAGAUGGACUUCUGUGGUUUACUACCUUUACCUUUCUUUUGGUUAUCCUACCUGUCUUUUUACAGUAAGUAGUGACAAUAUGAAAAGAAGUUCUCGAUAACUCUUGUUUUGUUACUUUAUAGUAAGCAUACAGCAAGUACUCAUUACAGAUAUAGAGAUGGUAAAAGAAAUUAGCAUGCGUACAUCUUUGAGCUUGGGGAUUUUCUUUUAUCUAUCUAAGGACCGCUAGCCACUAUUCGACCAAGGCAUUCUAGCUUCAAAUGGGUCAGUUUGGUCUUACCAGUGGAAGAUUUUUAGCUUUGCAUCACAUCUGCCUUGUUUUUAUUUUUCUCUGACUUUGGGAUCCAUAGUAUGGUAGGCCUCAUGUGAGCUGUACCCGUCCCAAGCCUCCCAGAAAGGUCCCCAAGUCACCUCAUAAGGUUGGAAGUAGUUCUUUUGUUCAUAGUGUACCUUGCUUAUGGAUAUGAUGAUGGCAGUGCUCUAUCAUACAUUCUAGCUUCUUACAAUGACCAGUUGGUUCAUGACACUUUCUUGGCUUUUUGCUCCCUAUUUGUUC